GAAGAAGCACACGGCGAAGGAGCUCCAGGCGAAGGCCGAUGCAGCGUUGACCAAUAGAGGCGGAGGAAAGGCGGGACUCGCCGACAGGACCGGUAAGGAGAAAGGUGGUCACGCUAAGUACGAGUGUCCUCACUGCAAGAUCACUGCACCUGAUCUCAAGACGAUGCAGAUCCAUCACGAAUCGAAGCAUCCUAAGAUGCCUUACGAGGAGCCGAGGAACCUCCACGAGGCUUUAGCUGCACCUGAAUCGUCCAAACCCAAACCCGGAAUAAGAGGAAGCCUGAAGAAGUGAUUCGGAUUGUGUCUGUGUGUUGUUCGUAUCGAAUUCCUUAUAAAAAUUUGUCAUCUUUUUUUAUGGGUUUCAAGUUGUUGAUGUGAGAAUAUAAACUGC
This 391-nucleotide long non-coding RNA is filed under the name Eutrema salsugineum. RNAcentral describes it as "long non-coding RNA (ESAL_LNC001118)". The record is from RNAcentral. Lineage: Eukaryota; Viridiplantae; Streptophyta; Magnoliopsida; Brassicales; Brassicaceae.